AACGAACGCUGGCGGCAUGCCUAACACAUGCAAGUCGAACGGGAUCCUAGCUUGCUAGGUGAGAGUGGCGGACGGGUGAGUAACACGUGGGAAUCUGCCUUUUGGUUCGGGAUAACCGCGGGAAACUGCGGCUAAUACCGAAUGCCCUCGAGAGAGGAAAGAUUUAUCGCCAGAAGAGGAGCCCGCGUCCGAUUAGGUAGUUGGUGGGGUAAAGGCCUACCAAGCCGACGAUCGGUAGCUGGUCUGAGAGGAUGAUCAGCCACACUGGGACUGAGAUACGGCCCAGACUCCUACGGGAGGCAGCAGUGGGGAAUAUUGGACAAUGGGGGCGAAACCCCUGAUCCAGCAAUGCGCGUGAGUGAUGAAGGCC
This 370-nucleotide ribosomal RNA is filed under the name uncultured bacterium. Its description in RNAcentral is "bacterial SSU rRNA". It matches the Rfam family "Bacterial small subunit ribosomal RNA", at positions 29 to 416 of the family's 1533-position model. The record is from RNAcentral.